ACCCUACCGCUCCUCCUGUGGUGGGGACCGUUGCAAACGCCUGCGAUGAAUCUGUUGGGCUGUAUUACAAGGACAGUGAUGCUUUAGACCCCAGACCAGCGAGUCCGAAGAAGUAACCAGACUUGUACCCCCCCGGUCUGGGUGUGAUCCGCAAAGAGGCAGAGCGGGAGGGGGAUUCGGGCUGGGCUCCCCCUAUACCAGUAGUCUAUUAGGCUCUGUUAUGAGGUUACACUCUUUGUUCUCGUGAUUGCUAGACCUUAGCACCACUGACUUUGACAAGUACCCAAUACGUGAUGUGGAUGGGCUUCUGGAGAGAAUCUUCACAACAAAAGGCGAUAGAGAAUACUCGCCAACGCCGCAGGCCAAGACACCAUCCCCCCCGAACAGGUUCGGUAGGAAUCGGUGGCAUCAGCAGCAAAAGCCAAGUCACUUCUACAGAGAAGGCUUACGGAGGCAACCGGAGGCAAUCACGUAGCCAAUAACCAGCGUCAAGCAAUGUGAUGACUACCUCAGUACAAGAAUUGUAGUGUUUUUGGCUAUGAGGAUUUUUGUAUGAUUUGCUUUAGGACUGUCUAAGCAAAUGGUGAUAGUAAAAUAACUUCGUUGAGUAGUUUGUCUAGAAUAACUGCAGUUAAAUGGAAUUUGCAUGCUUGUUGGUAUGCAUUCCUUGUAUUAUAUUAAUAAGGCAAGCUUCUUGCUGCCGGUGAAGGAUGGCAGAGAUUCCACCUGUGUGAGGUGUGAGCAGGUGGAUGAUCUGCUCAAUGUGGUGGCAAAGCUCAGGGAGGAGGUGGAGAGAUGAUGGAUCAUCAGGGAGUGUGAGCAGGAGAUAAACUGGAGGAGUAACUGCUGAACGUGCAAGAAAGACAUGGGGGUUAUAGCCCCAAACAAUGGUGGACCUUCUCCCCUGCCAUCGUUGAGCAGAGGGAGACGGGAAGAGGAGGAGUGGAAAUAGGUCCCAGCUUGGUGUCACAGGCAACCCCCAUCCCAACCUACCUCGGUUCCUCAGGUGCCCUUAUGUAAUAGGCUUGAGGCCCUGGAACCUGAGGGAGAGGUGAGUGAGGAUGCAGUCGGAGGUCUACCUGCAAAGUUGUCAAGGGUGAGGUGGUCAACUCGGCACCUCAAGACUGCCUCCACCAAGAAGGACAGAAGGGUGACUGUCCUAGGUGACUCCCUUCUGAGAGGAACGGAGGGCCCUAUAUGUCGGCCUGACCCUAUCCACAGGGAGGUGUGCUGCCUCCCUGGGGCCCAGGUCAGGGAUGUUUCUAGGAAACUUCCUAGUCUGAUUUGCUCCUCUAGUUCAGGCUGGCAGUGACGAAUGUGCUGACACAAGCCUGAAAACUAUCAAAAAGGACUUCGGAGGACUGGGGCAGUUAGUGGAUGGAGCGGGCAUACAGGUCGUAUUUUCCUCUAUUACUUCAGUGGCAGGGGAGGAUACUGAAGGGAGCAGGAAAACCCAUCUUAUAAACACACGGCUGAGAGGCUGGUGCAAAUGCAAGAAUUUUUGGUCUUUUAGCCAUGGUGCCGUUUACUCAGCACCUGGCCUCUUGGAUGCUGAUGGGUCUCACCUGCCUCAAAGGGGGAAACGGAUCCUUGCCCAGGAGCUGACAGGGCUUGUGGAGAGAGCUUUAAACUAGAUAUGAAGGGGGAUGGUCCAGGUCCACUACAGAUGAGCCUAAGGGAACAAUGACAGGACUGGGGAUGAGGCAGGGGGCUCAGCUGAAGUGCAUCUACACCAAUGCAUGCAGCACAGGCCACAAACAGGAGGAGCUGGAAACCAUUGUGUGGCUCUACAAGGCUGGAUCGAGGCUGGACCAGGACGUGCUCCCACAGGUGGACCCAGCUCGGUGGACAGGGCUGUGGGGUGCCAGAUCCCGGCUCCAUCAUGGCCUUGCUGGGGCAGGGAUUGACAGCCCCAGGGAUAACGUGGGGACCUAGGGACGGGGCAUGGUGGGGAAGGCCCAGUUGGGUGGGCAGGGACAGGCAGGGCUUUUACAGGGCCUUGGUAAUUCCCUAGUUUUGUUAAUUACGUUCUUGGUUGCUGGUUGUUCAGUUUUUAGCCUUAGUUCAGCCUGACAGUCCUGCCAGUGUAUCUGUCCGGGAAUACAGGAAAGAAAUCCUGAUGAAUUGAAUUCCCUUUGCCAGAAGGAGUGGAUAUUUCUUAGCUACAGCUUAGACUUUUUGUUUUUCCAAAAGACUCGUUGUGACAAGAAGUCAUGCAGCGUGCUCUGCUCAUCAGUAGCAUCAGGCAGGAGGGAGUGGAAACAAAACCAUGUUGUCAAACAUGUGCAACUUCAAUUAGUUUAGCGAAGGGGUCAUUGUGGGCUUCUUUGCACCAGUCCUCCCAGUCAAGUGUCAUGAUUCUUCCUGCUUGCCACUUAUCUGUGUGUCCCCAGCGUAGGCAAAACACUCUGGAAUAAACAUAGAGUUGUUCAUAGGUGCUCAAUACUUCAGUGUUUGAGCCAAUAAGAGCUUCAGAAGUCUCACCCUGAAGCAAAGUGAGGACUUUGCCAAUGCGUAAACGGCCUUUCUGGCCUCACUGCAUGAACAUCAGCACUGUGGCAGGCCUGGGAUGCGUAAAAGUAAUUGUCUGCAACACACUUUGAUGUUACAUAGCAGGUACUAUUCCAUGCUAUGUUCAUAUACAGAAGCGAGAGUGUGUGACAAGGAGAGAGAUGAGCUUGGCCAUGGGAAGUGGAAGGCACGUGAGCAUGCCGGGAGGGAGCAAAGGCUAUGCCAACAGCUCUAGAAGGGAGCAGAAAGGAUGUAAGCAUGCCUGGAGUCAAGGGACUCCAGUCAUCCCAAAAGGGGAAAGGGAGGACACUGGAAUGCUGUAGAAAGGACUGAAGGGGAUGUGCGUGUGAACUAAGGGGACUCGGUGCUUGCAGCCAGGGUAGUAGAGAAGGCAUGAAGACACACCGCAGGGAAUGGGGGGGCUCUGAGUGAGAGCAAUACAAGUGAUCUGGAGCAGCAGCCUUGGGCACCCUGUGCUCCUGGAGGUCUGCAAGGGGUUGCUUCCUUUUGCCACGUUGCCCUGUUAAAUGCAAACAUUUAAUGAACACGUGAGCCCCUCCCUCUGCCCCAAGGGCCUUACAAAGGGAACACUGGCACUGCCAGCUAUGACAACUCUGAUUCAUGUCACCAAGAGUCACUAAGCCUUUUGUGAUGUCAUAAAGCGCUCAGCAGACCUGGGGCAUUUGCACAGGCCCCACAAGCACAGUGCCUGCUGGAGCAGGUGCAGGUGCAGCUGGUGCUGGUGCUGGCAGUGUUGGCACUGGUGGUGCUGGUGCUGGUGGUAGUACCCAGUCCCGACGGAUCAUGGAGAGGAUCCGGCAGUUGCUGUGGACACUGAGGAGGACAUGGAGAAGGCGGAGGGCUCGAGUGCAUCUCAUGGAGUGCACGGAGCAGGAAAAUAAAGAAGCUCCUUUGGAAUCUGAAGUCAAGCAGGCAGAGGACAGCACAGAUGGAGUAGCAGGAGCAACUUCUGCGCCGCUCGGUCUCUCCAACACAGAUGGAGUAGCAGCGG
Numida meleagris (helmeted guineafowl) is the source of this 3523-nucleotide long non-coding RNA. RefSeq lists it as uncharacterized. Lineage: Eukaryota; Metazoa; Chordata; Aves; Galliformes; Numididae. The transcript has 3 exons. The record is from RefSeq and is a predicted model, not a curated record.